Molecule: ribosomal RNA, 1457 nt
Filed under: Virgibacillus halodenitrificans
Lineage: Bacteria; Bacillati; Bacillota; Bacilli; Caryophanales; Bacillaceae
Description: 16S ribosomal RNA
Rfam family: Bacterial small subunit ribosomal RNA
Source: RNAcentral
UGGCGGCGUGCUAUACAUGCAAGUCGAGCGCGGGAAGCAAGCUGAUCCUCUUCGGAGGUGACGCUUGUGGAACGAGCGGCGGACGGGUGAGUAACACGUGGGCAACCUGCCUGUAAGACUGGGAUAACCCCGGGAAACCGGGGCUAAUACCGGAUAAUACUUUUCAUCACCUGAUGNNAAGUUGAAAGGUGGCUUUUAGCUACCACUUACAGAUGGGCCCGCGGCGCAUUAGCUAGUUGGUGAGGUAACGGCUCACCAAGGCAACGAUGCGUAGCCGACCUGAGAGGGUGAUCGGCCACACUGGGACUGAGACACGGCCCAGACUCCUACGGGAGGCAGCAGUAGGGAAUCUUCCGCAAUGGACGAAAGUCUGACGGAGCAACGCCGCGUGAGUGAUGAAGGUUUUCGGAUCGUAAAGCUCUGUUGUUAGGGAAGAACAAGUGCCGUUCGAAUAGGGCGGCACCUUGACGGUACCUAACCAGAAAGCCCCGGCUAACUACGUGCCAGCAGCCGCGGUAAUACGUAGGGGGCAAGCGUUGUCCGGAAUUAUUGGGCGUAAAGCGCGCGCAGGCGGUCCUUUAAGUCUGAUGUGAAAGCCCACGGCUCAACCGUGGAGGGUCAUUGGAAACUGGAGGACUUGAGUACAGAAGAGGAGAGUGGAAUUCCACGUGUAGCGGUGAAAUGCGUAGAGAUGUGGAGGAACACCAGUGGCGAAGGCGACUCUCUGGUCUGUAACUGACGCUGAGGCGCGAAAGCGUGGGGAGCGAACAGGAUUAGAUACCCUGGUAGUCCACGCCGUAAACGAUGAGUGCUAGGUGUUAGGGGGUUUCCGCCCCUUAGUGCUGAAGUUAACGCAUUAAGCACUCCGCCUGGGGAGUACGGCCGCAAGGCUGAAACUCAAAAGAAUUGACGGGGGCCCGCACAAGCGGUGGGAGCAUGUGGUUUAAUUCGACGCAACGCGAAGAACCUUACCAGGUCUUGACAUCCUCUGCAAUCGGUAGAGAUACCGAGUUCCCUUCGGGGACAGAGUGACAGGUGGUGCAUGGUUGUCGUCAGCUCGUGUCGUGAGAAUGUUGGGUUAAGUCCCGCAACGAGCGCAACCCUUGAUCUUAGUUGCCAGCAUUUAGUUGGGCACUCUAAGNGUGACUGCCGGUGACAAACCGGAGGAAGGUGGGGAUGACGUCAAAUCAUCAUGCCCCUUAUGACCUGGGCUACACACGUGCUACAAUGGAUGGAACAAAGGGAAGCAAAACCGCGAGGUCAAGCAAAUCCCAUAAAACCAUUCUCAGUUCGGAUUGCAGGCUGCAACUCGCCUGCAUGAAGCCGGAAUCGCUAGUAAUCGCGGAUCAGCAUGCCGCGGUGAAUACGUUCCCGGGCCUUGUACACACCGCCCGUCACACCACGAGAGUUGGUAACACCCGAAGUCGGUGAGGUAACCUUUGGAGCCAGCCGCCGAA